AGCACCACAACGGGUGGAGCUUGCGGUUUAAUCGGACUCAACGCCGGGAAACUCACCAGAUAAGACAGCUGAAUGAUAGUCGGGCUGAAGACUCUACUUGACUAGCUGAGAGGAGGUGCAUGGCCGUCGUCAGUUCGUACUGUGAAGCAUCCUGUUAAGUCAGGCAACGAGCGAGACCCACGCCAACAGUUGCCAGCUCGUCCUCCGGGAUGGUGGGGACACUGUUGGGACCGCCUCUGCUAAAGAGAAGGAAGGAAUGGGCAACGGUAGGUCAGCAUGCCCCGAAUUAUCUGGGCUACACGCGGGCUACAAUGGGUGGGACAAUGGGUAUCGACACCGAAAGGUGAAGGCAAUCUCCUAAACCCAUCCGUAGUUCGGAUUGUGGGCUGCAACUCGCCCACAUGAAGCUGGAAUCUGUAGUAAUCGUGUCUCAAAAUGGCACGGUGAAUAUGUCCCUGCUCCUU
Molecule: ribosomal RNA, 464 nt
Filed under: uncultured Methanomicrobiales archaeon
Lineage: Archaea; Methanobacteriati; Methanobacteriota; Methanomicrobia; Methanomicrobiales
Description: bacterial SSU rRNA
Rfam family: Archaeal small subunit ribosomal RNA
Source: RNAcentral